UACAGAGGUCUCAAGCGUUGUUCGGAUUCAUUGGGCGUAAAGGGUGCGUCGGUGGCGCCGUAAGUCAGGUGUGAAAUUUCGGAGCUUAACUCCGAAACUGCAUUUGAUACUGCGGUGCUUGAGGACUGGAGAGGAGACUGGAAUUCACGGUGUAGCAGUGAAAUGCGUAGAUAUCGUGAGGAAGACCAGUGGCGAAGGCGGGUCUCUGGACAGUUCCUGACACUGAGGCACGAAGGCCAGGGGAGCAAACGGG
Molecule: ribosomal RNA, 253 nt
Filed under: uncultured bacterium
Lineage: Bacteria
Description: partial 16S ribosomal RNA
Rfam family: Bacterial small subunit ribosomal RNA
Source: RNAcentral